AGAGCAACUAAAACUUUACAGUUUUUACCAAACAAACCAUUUACAAAGAACAAGGUCAGGGAGGAGACAGACCAGAUAGCCUACAGCAGCAGGGAUCAUAAUGCAGACUUUCCUCAGGUAAGGAGAAAUUAUGACUAUUAUUCUUGAAGUGGAACAGUCUUUAAAACCUGGUGUAUAGUUUGAAGUCUCUACUUUUGACACAAUUUGUAACAGAGUCUC
This is a long non-coding RNA of Austrofundulus limnaeus, 219 nucleotides long. RefSeq lists it as uncharacterized. The record is from RefSeq and is a predicted model, not a curated record. The transcript has 2 exons. Lineage: Eukaryota; Metazoa; Chordata; Actinopteri; Cyprinodontiformes; Rivulidae.